UACAGAGGGCCCAAGCGUUGUUCGGAUUCACUGGGCGUAAAGGGCGCGUAGGCGGUCGGGUAAGUCUGACGUGAAAUCUUCAAGCUUAACUUGGAAACUGCGUCGGAUACUAUUCGGCUGGAGGAAUGGAGGGGAGACUGGAAUACUUGGUGUAGCAGUGAAAUGCGUAGAUAUCAAGUGGAACACCAGUGGCGAAGGCGAGUCUCUGGACAUUUCCUGACGCUGAGGCACGAAAGCCAGGGGAGCAAACGGG
This 253-nucleotide ribosomal RNA is filed under the name uncultured bacterium. Its description in RNAcentral is "partial 16S ribosomal RNA". It matches the Rfam family "Bacterial small subunit ribosomal RNA", at positions 524 to 776 of the family's 1533-position model. The record is from RNAcentral.